UCCUGACUCAAUAGCCUUCCCAGCUGCGGGGUGGAUUGUCCAUCACCACAUUGAACGCAGUUGGUCUGCCAGAGGGAGACAAAGGGCAGGGAGAUCUGGAGCCUUCAAUAAAUCCUGUAGUGAGGUAUUCCUGAUGUCCCUGACUCAGCACAAUUCCCAAUUCCUGUCUCGUCCAUCACCACAUUGAAGACGGUUGGUCAGCCAGAGAGAGAUGGAGAGUGAGAUCUGGAGCCUUCAGUAAAUCCUGCAGCCAAAUGUGACAAAACCCAUUUACGGCUCAUUGAGAAAGUACAGAGCAUGGGAUACAUGGAAACCUGUCUGUCUGGAUACAGAAUUCCUGGC
Hemiscyllium ocellatum (epaulette shark) is the source of this 342-nucleotide long non-coding RNA. RefSeq lists it as uncharacterized. The transcript has 3 exons. The record is from RefSeq and is a predicted model, not a curated record. NCBI's taxonomy places the organism in Eukaryota, Metazoa, Chordata, Chondrichthyes, Orectolobiformes, Hemiscylliidae.